CGAACUCGUUGAGACUCGUUCAUUUAUGAUCCAACUUCAGGAGAGACGGAUGUUCUCCGAAAAGUGCUGGAUUUAUAGAGCCUCCUCGCUAUCGCUUCAAGCGUCGAAGAGCACCUGCUAUAAGUAGCUCUUAUCACAAUUUUAAUCGAGAUGGAGAAAGAGACAAAUAACAAGAUUCUUCUCUGUUCUUGUUUCUCCUAAUGCUGGAUUUAUAGAGCCUCCUCGCUAUCGCUUCAAGCGUCGAAGAGCACCUGCUAUAAGUAGCUCUUAUCAUGCUUUUAAUCGAGAUGGAGAAAGAGACAAAUAACAAGAUUCUUCUCUGUUCUUGUUUCUCUUAAUGCUGGAUUUAUAGAGCCUCCUCGCUAUCGCUUCAAGCGUCGAAGAGCACCUGCUAUAAGUAGCUCUUAUCAUGCUUUUAAUCGAGAUGGAGAAAGAGACAAAUAACAAGAUUCUUCUCUGUUCUUGUUUCUCCUAAUGCUGGAUUUAUAGAGCCUCCUCGCUAUCGCUUCAAGCGUCGAAGAGCACCUGCUAUAAGUAGCUCUUAUCAUGCUUUUAAUGGAGAUGGAGAAAGAGACAAAUAACAAGAAUCUUUUUCAAAAUAGGAAUUUCAAUCUGAAUUCAAGUGACGAAUGUUGUAUCUGAGAGAUGUCGAUUUGGAAAAUGGAUGAGGGCGAGUUUUAACCAUGAAAUGAAAUAUAAUAUCCAACUAAUAAACAAGAAUGUAUGCAGUGAGAAUGGCACAAGCUCAGACACAUGCACAUUCAUAUCAUAGUGAUCAUAUAUCUAUAAUUUACUGUUGAACUACAGGGUUUGUCCGGAAAGUAAUGCG
Nylanderia fulva is the source of this 829-nucleotide non-coding RNA. The record is from RefSeq and is a predicted model, not a curated record. NCBI's taxonomy places the organism in Eukaryota, Metazoa, Arthropoda, Insecta, Hymenoptera, Formicidae.